Molecule: small nuclear RNA, 101 nt
Filed under: Xenopus laevis (African clawed frog)
Lineage: Eukaryota; Metazoa; Chordata; Amphibia; Anura; Pipidae
Description: U2 spliceosomal RNA
Rfam family: U2 spliceosomal RNA
About the family: U2 is a small nuclear RNA (snRNA) component of the spliceosome (involved in pre-mRNA splicing). Complementary binding between U2 snRNA (in an area lying towards the 5' end but 3' to hairpin I) and the branchpoint sequence (BPS) of the intron results the bulging out of an unpaired adenosine, on the BPS, which initiates a nucleophilic attack at the intronic 5' splice site, thus starting the first of two transesterification reactions that mediate splicing.
Source: Rfam by way of RNAcentral
AUUGCUUCUCUGCCUUUUGGAUAAGAUCAAGUGUAGUAUCUGUUCUUAUCAGCUGGUAGGAUAUCUCUUAGCUAAAGGAGGUGUGGUAGUCCCCAUCCACU